GACGAACGCUGGCGGCGUGCUUAACACAUGCAAGUCGAACGGAAAGACCCUGCUUUUGUUGGGUGCUCGAUUGGCGAACAGGGGUGUAAAACGUGAGUAUCCUGCACUUGACUGUCUGAGAACUUCAGGAAACUGGGGCUAAUACCGGAGAUGAUAUCCUGCUGCAUGGUGGUCGUUGGAAAGUGUCGGCGGUUGGGGAUGUACUCGCGGCUUAUGAGCUUGUUGGGUUAGUAGUUGCUUACCAAGGCUUUGACGGGUAGCCGGCCUGAGAGGGUUGACGGCGACCUUGGGACUGAGAUAGGGAGCAGACUCCUACGGGCGGCAGUAGUGGAGAAUCUUGCACAAUGAGCCGAAGUCUAUUGCAGAAACGCCGCGAGCGUGAUGCCGGCUUUCGGGUUGUAAACCAAUUUCGAAUGUGCCGAAGACUUCGUGACGGUACUGGGUCAAGAAGCACCGGCUAACUACGUG
RNAcentral lists this ribosomal RNA (468 nucleotides) under uncultured bacterium. Its description in RNAcentral is "partial 16S ribosomal RNA". It matches the Rfam family "Bacterial small subunit ribosomal RNA", at positions 28 to 507 of the family's 1533-position model. The record is from RNAcentral.